GGGUUGUGAGGUUAAGCGACUAAGCGUACACGGUGGAUGCCCUGGCAGUCAGAGGCGAUGAAGGACGUGCUAAUCUGCGAUAAGCGUCGGUGAGGUGAUAUGAACUGUUAUAACCGGCGAUUUCCGAAUGGGGAAACCCAGUGUGUUUCGACACACUAUCAUUAACUGAAUCCAUAGGUUAAUGAGGCGAACCGGGGGAACUGAAACAUCUAAGUACCCCGAGGAAAAGAAAUCAACCGAGAUUCCCCCAGUAGCGGCGAGCGAACGGGGAGGAGCCCAGAGCCUGAAUCAGUGUGUGUGUUAGUGGAAGCGUCUGGAAAGGCGCGCGAUACAGGGUGACAGCCCCGUACACAAAAAUGCACAUAUUGUGAGCUCGAUGAGUAGGGCGGGACACGUGGUAUCCUGUCUGAAUAUGGGGGGACCAUCCUCCAAGGCUAAAUACUCCUGACUGACCGAUAGUGAACCAGUACCGUGAGGGAAAGGCGAAAAGAACCCCGGCGAGGGGAGUGAAAAAGAACCUGAAACCGUGUACGUACAAGCAGUGGGAGCCUCUUUAUGGGGUGACUGCGUACCUUUUGUAUAAUGGGUCAGCGACUUAUAUUCUGUAGCAAGGUUAACCGAAUAGGGGAGCCGAAGGGAAACCGAGUCUUAACUGGGCGUUAAGUUGCAGGGUAUAGACCCGAAACCCGGUGAUCUAGCCAUGGGCAGGUUGAAGGUUGGGUAACACUAACUGGAGGACCGAACCGACUAAUGUUGAAAAAUUAGCGGAUGACUUGUGGCUGGGGGUGAAAGGCCAAUCAAACCGGGAGAUAGCUGGUUCUCCCCGAAAGCUAUUUAGGUAGCGCCUCGUGAAUUCAUCUCCGGGGGUAGAGCACUGUUUCGGCAAGGGGGUCAUCCCGACUUACCAACCCGAUGCAAACUGCGAAUACCGGAGAAUGUUAUCACGGGAGACACACGGCGGGUGCUAACGUCCGUCGUGAAGAGGGAAACAACCCAGACCGCCAGCUAAGGUCCCAAAGUCAUGGUUAAGUGGGAAACGAUGUGGGAAGGCCCAGACAGCCAGGAUGUUGGCUUAGAAGCAGCCAUCAUUUAAAGAAAGCGUAAUAGCUCACUGGUCGAGUCGGCCUGCGCGGAAGAUGUAACGGGGCUAAACCAUGCACCGAAGCUGCGGCAGCGACACUAUGUGUUGUUGGGUAGGGGAGCGUUCUGUAAGCCUGUGAAGGUGGCCUGUGAGGGUUGCUGGAGGUAUCAGAAGUGCGAAUGCUGACAUAAGUAACGAUAAAGCGGGUGAAAAGCCCGCUCGCCGGAAGACCAAGGGUUCCUGUCCAACGUUAAUCGGGGCAGGGUGAGUCGACCCCUAAGGCGAGGCCGAAAGGCGUAGUCGAUGGGAAACAGGUUAAUAUUCCUGUACUUGGUGUUACUGCGAAGGGGGGACGGAGAAGGCUAUGUUGGCCGGGCGACGGUUGUCCCGGUUUAAGCGUGUAGGCUGGUUUUCCAGGCAAAUCCGGAAAACCAAGGCUGAGGCGUGAUGACGAGGCACUACGGUGCUGAAGCGACAAAUGCCCUGCUUCCAGGAAAAGCCUCUAAGCAUCAGGUAACAUCAAAUCGUACCCCAAACCGACACAGGUGGUCAGGUAGAGAAUACCAAGGCGCUUGAGAGAACUCGGGUGAAGGAACUAGGCAAAAUGGUGCCGUAACUUCGGGAGAAGGCACGCUGAUAUGUAGGUGAAGCGACUUGCUCGUGGAGCUGAAAUCAGUCGAAGAUACCAGCUGGCUGCAACUGUUUAUUAAAAACACAGCACUGUGCAAACACGAAAGUGGACGUAUACGGUGUGACGCCUGCCCGGUGCCGGAAGGUUAAUUGAUGGGGUUAGCGGUAACGCGAAGCUCUUGAUCGAAGCCCCGGUAAACGGCGGCCGUAACUAUAACGGUCCUAAGGUAGCGAAAUUCCUUGUCGGGUAAGUUCCGACCUGCACGAAUGGCGUAAUGAUGGCCAGGCUGUCUCCACCCGAGACUCAGUGAAAUUGAACUCGCUGUGAAGAUGCAGUGUACCCGCGGCAAGACGGAAAGACCCCGUGAACCUUUACUAUAGCUUGACACUGAACAUUGAGCCUUGAUGUGUAGGAUAGGUGGGAGGCUUUGAAGUGUGGACGCCAGUCUGCAUGGAGCCGACCUUGAAAUACCACCCUUUAAUGUUUGAUGUUCUAACGUUGGCCCGUAAUCCGGGUUGCGGACAGUGUCUGGUGGGUAGUUUGACUGGGGCGGUCUCCUCCUAAAGAGUAACGGAGGAGCACGAAGGUUGGCUAAUCCUGGUCGGACAUCAGGAGGUUAGUGCAAUGGCAUAAGCCAGCUUGACUGCGAGCGUGACGGCGCGAGCAGGUGCGAAAGCAGGUCAUAGUGAUCCGGUGGUUCUGAAUGGAAGGGCCAUCGCUCAACGGAUAAAAGGUACUCCGGGGAUAACAGGCUGAUACCGCCCAAGAGUUCAUAUCGACGGCGGUGUUUGGCACCUCGAUGUCGGCUCAUCACAUCCUGGGGCUGAAGUAGGUCCCAAGGGUAUGGCUGUUCGCCAUUUAAAGUGGUACGCGAGCUGGGUUUAGAACGUCGUGAGACAGUUCGGUCCCUAUCUGCCGUGGGCGCUGGAGAACUGAGGGGGGCUGCUCCUAGUACGAGAGGACCGGAGUGGACGCAUCACUGGUGUUCGGGUUGUCAUGCCAAUGGCACUGCCCGGUAGCUAAAUGCGGAAGAGAUAAGUGCUGAAAGCAUCUAAGCACGAAACUUGCCCCGAGAUGAGUUCUCCCUGAGACUUAGAGUCUCCUGAAGGAACGUUGAAGACGACGACGUUGAUAGGCCGGGUGUGUAAGCGCAGCGAUGCGUUGAGCUAACCGGUACUAAUGAACCGUGAGGCUUAACCUUACAACGCCGAAG
RNAcentral lists this ribosomal RNA (2925 nucleotides) under Escherichia coli. RNAcentral's name for it is "23S ribosomal RNA". It matches the Rfam family "Bacterial large subunit ribosomal RNA". Lineage: Bacteria; Pseudomonadati; Pseudomonadota; Gammaproteobacteria; Enterobacterales; Enterobacteriaceae. The record is from RNAcentral.